UGGGGAAUAUUGGACAAUGGGCGCAAGCCUGAUCCAGCCAUGCCGCGUGAGUGAUGAAGGCCCUAGGGUUGUAAAGCUCUUUCACCGGUGAAGAUAAUGACGGUAACCGGAGAAGAAGCCCCGGCUAACUUCGUGCCAGCAGCCGCGGUAAUACGAAGGGGGCUAGCGUUGUUCGGAUUUACUGGGCGUAAAGCGCACGUAGGCGGACUUUUAAGUCAGGGGUGAAAUCCCGGGGCUCAACCCCGGAACUGCCUUUGAUACUGGAAGUCUUGAGUAUGGUAGAGGUGAGUGGAAUUCCGAGUGUAGAGGUGAAAUUCGUAGAUAUUCGGAGGAACACCAGUGGCGAAGGCGGCUCACUGGACCAUUACUGACGCUGAGGUGCGAAAGCGUGGGGAGCAAACAGGAUUAGAUACCCUCGUAGUCCCUGAGCGGGCUGGCAAGGCGCAU
RNAcentral lists this ribosomal RNA (447 nucleotides) under uncultured bacterium. RNAcentral's name for it is "bacterial SSU rRNA". It matches the Rfam family "Bacterial small subunit ribosomal RNA", at positions 355 to 825 of the family's 1533-position model. The record is from RNAcentral.